ACAGGAAAGCCUUGGAGGGCCUCCUGUGUCCCAGCGACCCUCUGAACACAGCCCAAACACAGCACCUGUCUCAUCUGUAAUGUUUCUUUUCAGUCUGUUGUUCUUACCAGGCUAUGAUAUCUCUGUGAGUAGGAAAGAUCUCCUUUAUGGAUUAUUGGAUUCCAGGCCAAAAAAUGCUUUUCAGUGCAUGAAUAGACCACUUCCAAGUAUUCCCAGAAAGGCAUCUCAUCCUUCAGAGGAGCAAUGGAAGGUAGAGUGC
This 259-nucleotide long non-coding RNA is filed under the name Homo sapiens (human). RNAcentral's name for it is "non-protein coding lnc-FIGNL2-11:2". The record is from RNAcentral. Lineage: Eukaryota; Metazoa; Chordata; Mammalia; Primates; Hominidae.